GACGAACGCUGGCGGCGUGCCUAACACAUGCAAGUCGAGCGUAGAUAAAAUGAUGAUUUAUCGGGUUUUUAUCUUAGCGCCGGACGGGUGAGUAACGCGUGAGAAACCUGCCUUAUACUGGGGGAUAGCACACCUAAAGGUGUGCUAAUACCGCAUAAAUUUACUAGAUCGCAUGGUCUUGUAACCGAAGGAGUAAUGCGGUGUAAGAUGGUCGCGCGUCUGAUUCGCUAGUGGGUGGGGUAAAGGCAUACCAAGGCGAAGAUCAGUAGCCGACCUGAGAGGGUGAUCGGCCACAUUGGGACUGAGACACGGCCCAGACUCCUACGGGAGGCAGCAGUGGGGAAUAUUGCGCAAUGGGGGAAACCCUGACGCAGCAACGCCGCGUGAAGGAUGAAGGUCUUCGGAUUGUAAACUUCUGUGAUUGGGGCAGAUAAUGACGGUACCCAAAAAACAAGCCACGGCUAACUACGUGCCAGCCGCCGCGGUAA
Molecule: ribosomal RNA, 488 nt
Filed under: uncultured bacterium
Lineage: Bacteria
Description: partial 16S ribosomal RNA
Rfam family: Bacterial small subunit ribosomal RNA
Source: RNAcentral